This 119-nucleotide ribosomal RNA is filed under the name Aegilops tauschii subsp. strangulata. Lineage: Eukaryota; Viridiplantae; Streptophyta; Magnoliopsida; Poales; Poaceae. The record is from RNAcentral.
GGAUGCGAUCAUACCAGCACUAAAGCACCGGAUCCCAUCAGAACUUCGUAGUUAAGCGUGCUUGGGCGAGAGUAGUACUAGGAUGGGUGACCUCCUGGGAAGUCCUCGUGUUGCAUUCA